GAUGAACCACUUCGGUGGGGAUUAGUGGCGAACGGGUGAGUAACACGUGGGCAAUCUGCCCUGCACUCUGGGACAAGCCCUGGAAACGGGGUCUAAUACCGGAUAUUGACCUUCACGGGCAUCUGUGAGGUUCGAAAGCUCCGGCGGUGCAGGAUGAGCCCGCGGCCUAUCAGCUUGUUGGUGAGGUAAUGGCUCACCAAGGCGACGACGGGUAGCCGGCCUGAGAGGGCGACCGGCCACACUGGGACUGAGACACGGCCCAGACUCCUACGGGAGGCAGCAGUGGGGAAUAUUGCACAAUGGGCGAAAGCCUGAUGCAGCGACGCCGCGUGAGGGAUGACGGCCUUCGGGUUGUAAACCUCUUUCAGCAGGGAAGAAGCGAAAGUGACGGUACCUGCAGAAGAAGCGCCGGCUAACUACGUGCCAGCAGCCGCGGUAAUACGUAGGGCGCAAGCGUUGUCCGGAAUUAUUGGGCGUAAAGAGCUCGUAGGCGGCUUGUCACGUCGGUUGUGAAAGCCCGGGGCUUAACCCCGGGUCUGCAGUCGAUACGGGCAGGCUAGAGUUCGGUAGGGGAGAUCGGAAUUCCUGGUGUAGCGGUGAAAUGCGCAGA
This 610-nucleotide ribosomal RNA is filed under the name Streptomyces sp. SCAUEA26. RNAcentral describes it as "bacterial SSU rRNA". It matches the Rfam family "Bacterial small subunit ribosomal RNA", at positions 68 to 694 of the family's 1533-position model. The record is from RNAcentral. Lineage: Bacteria; Bacillati; Actinomycetota; Actinomycetes; Kitasatosporales; Streptomycetaceae.